RNAcentral lists this ribosomal RNA (460 nucleotides) under uncultured bacterium. RNAcentral describes it as "partial 16S ribosomal RNA". It matches the Rfam family "Bacterial small subunit ribosomal RNA", at positions 338 to 795 of the family's 1533-position model. The record is from RNAcentral.
CCUACGGGAGGCAGCAGUGAGGAAUAUUGGUCAAUGGGCGCGAGCCUGAACCAGCCAAGUAGCGUGAAGGAUGACUGCCCUACGGGUUGUAAACUUCUUUUAUAAAGGAAUAAAGUGAGGCACGUGUGCCUUUUUGUACGUACUUUAUGAAUAAGGAUCGGCUAACUCAGUGCCAGCAGCCGCGGUAAUACGGGGGAUCCGAGCGUUAACCGGAUUUAUUGGGUUUAAAGGGAGCGUAGAUGGGUUGUUAAGUCAGUUGUGAAAGUCUGCGGCUCAACCGUAGAAUUGCAUUUGAUACUGGCCGUCUUGAGUACUGGAGAGGCAGGCGGAAUUCGUGGUGUAGCGGUGAAAUGCUUAGAUAUCACGAAGAACUCCGAUGGCGAAGGCAGCUUGCUAGACUGCAACUGACGUUGAUGCUCGAAAGUGUGGGUAUCAAACAGGAUUAGAUACCCGGGUAGUC